This is a non-coding RNA of Brassica napus (rape), 143 nucleotides long. NCBI's taxonomy places the organism in Eukaryota, Viridiplantae, Streptophyta, Magnoliopsida, Brassicales, Brassicaceae. The record is from Rfam.
UUUGAGGGGAAUGUUGUCUGGCUCGAGGACUCUAGCUCUAUCUACUCAUGUUGGAUCCUCUUCGAUCUAAUCGAAUCAAACCUCUAUGUUUGAGAUCUGAUUAGGGUUUUAGUGUCGUCGGACCAGGCUUCAUUCCCCCCAAU